RNAcentral lists this long non-coding RNA (3302 nucleotides) under Salmo salar (Atlantic salmon). RNAcentral describes it as "lncRNA (ENSSSAG00000091133.1)". The record is from RNAcentral. Lineage: Eukaryota; Metazoa; Chordata; Actinopteri; Salmoniformes; Salmonidae.
AUGUCAACGAUCUUUAUAAAGUUGUUUGAAGCGUCUAUGAUAAACAGAGAGCAAAUUAGAAUCCAAGGAAGUUGACAUGUCAUCACUUCAUUUUUUUGCGCCUGCGCAUAAAUCUGAGAAACGUGAGUUUGUCAUCAUUUUUUAUCUAGACAUAGGAUAGGUUGUGUGAAAAUAUUACUGAUGUUUAACGUUAAAAAUGGACCAAAAGAUUAAUGCUAAACAACAUUUGACAUGUUUGAACGAACAUAAAUAGAUUAUUUACUAGGUUUUUUUAGCUUUUCGGCGUGAUUUGACCAACCCCCACGACAUUUUUUGGGGGCAUAAUGAACGCUAAGUACUUGGUGUUAUUUGGACAUAAAUUAUGAAACCACAUUUGUUCCGGACCUGGAAUGCCUUCCGGACCUGGGAUCCUGCCUUCUGAUGGAGAUAAUCAAAGGGUAAGAUGGUGAAGGGAAUGGGCAGGCUCAUGGAUCUGGUGGCCAGCACUGGAUCAAAGGUGGUCUUCACCAUGGAGCACUCAGCUAAGGUUGCAGCCCACACUUAAAGACAGCGUUCAAGUCACAAAUGGCCCCUGAUAUUGUAGCUUCCCAUGCCACUGGCGGGGACCAACAGAUGAUAAGAGACGGACCGAGACAAUCAUUGGAUUGACAGCCAUCACCAGCGAAGGAUCUCUUGGGUCCACUUCCAGCACUCACUGGGGUCCACUUAAAGACAGGCUCCGUAUGGACAGACAGCACUGUGGAGCCUAUCCCAGGCCAGCGGUAAUGCUAGCAAGCUGACUGACCCUCAGAGCACUUAGCUACAGACAGUUCAAAGAUUGGUCUCAUGCUUUAGCAGCUAGAAGAGGGUCUCAAAGGACUGUAACGAGCUGGGUCUGGACUUUGGUUAGUUUGUUUGCUUGUGUUUUCAAUCAGGUGGAUUACCUGCCAUGAAAUGCUCAAUAACAAAAGUACUGUACGCUGCCAGGAAGCACCCAGAAAAAUCUCAUUUUUAAGUCCUUACUCCAUUUUUAAUCUGUUUGUUUUGAUCUUAUACACAUGGUGGUUCACAGUAACUUUUUGUCACCCUAUUGAUGUUUUUAUCUAAUGUAUUACUUGUAUGCUGGAUUGUCCUUUAUACUCAAAUACACCCAAAUGUUUUCCUCAAGUAAUUAGUAUUAUUUUUAAUGAGUUAGGGAGCUCUGGGCCUUCUGUUUUUAUCAAUGGGGAAGUUGAGGUUGAUGAUUACCAGGCUAUUAGUAUGUUAGUUUACUACCAUGAGAUACUUCAGUAGGUUUUAUAUUUCCACCCACGGCAUUGUGAGCCUCUUCUGUGUGUGGUGGGAGGAGAGCGGUAAUAAUGGCAGGAAACAAUGACUCUCUACAGUGACAUGUUCAAGGUAAAUAAACACAGAGCUGGAGCGAGAGAGAGCGGGAGAGCCACCUGUUCAGUGAUGGAUAGUCCCUUGAACAACAACACACUACCCGAGGUCAACACUCUCUCUCUCUCUAUCUUUCUCUUUCCCCAUCUCUCUCUCUUUCUCUCCCCAUCUCUCUCUCUCUCUGUCCAUGUGUUCCUUUGUUCCUCAUCCAGAUCCUCAUCCAUGAUGUAUCAUCUCCCAGUUUCCAAACCCAACUCCCAUAGUUUCCCUCCUUCCCUGCCUCCCUUCCUUCGUCUUUCCUAUAGCCUCUAUCUCCUUUCCUCCCUACUUCCCUUCCUGCCUACCUCCCAAAGCUUUCCUUCGCUCCCUCCCUUGCUCCAUCCCGCCCUCUCUGCAUGCCUGCCUGGCGCUCUCCUCUCAAAGCUGUCGUCUCUGCUCUGCUCUGACACUGUCACACAUGUUCUUGUGUGUUUGUCUCCGUCUCUGAGGGGAAAGAUUCAGAAUCUAAUUACCAGGUUGUUUUGUAAUUAAUUUGCAGUAAACACCUAACUCAAUUAGGCAGCAAGUAUGAUUCUCCUCUCUCCUUCACCCACCAAGAUGGUGAUGAUGUUUGGAGCACUCCAACGACUUUCUCACCAGCCAAACUGUAAGGGCGAGGACCCUGGUCUUUUUCCUCUCCCUGCACAAUUAAUGCUUCGUAUUAAUUGUUGUUUCUGUUUAGUUAUGAGUGAAUACAAUUAUGUAAAGAUACUGUAGGACCAACUCUAAUGAUAACAGCAUUUCUAUUUAAUUGUGAAUAGGGAGAUUGAAGCCAGAUUCUAUUCAAGCAUUUUGUUUUAUAAUGAACACCCUCAAAGAUUUUACCAGUGAAAUACUUUUGCUGUGCUGUGAAACUGGUUAUGUUGGAAUUAUGGAAAUAAUUGCUCACCCCAAGAAAUCCCUUAAAAAUGUUCAGUGUACGAUAACAGACUUUUCGGGACCUAGUAGAACAUAUAAAUGUCAUAAGAGACAUGUCAAGUUUUCUGUAAGGCGCUAGUACAUAAGGGGCAUCUGCCAAGAGAUAGCAGUGAAUAUGCCAUCUCAUGUCAUAUGAUCCUAGUGGAGAUGUAAAUCUGCCAGGGGUUUCGAGGGAAAAUCCCUUAUAAUCUUCCUCUCACUGUGUGAAUGUCACUAAUACUGCAAAUGCUUAUACUGCACAAUUUAAACACGCUCCCCAAUCCCCCUUCCCUGAUACAUGUGUAAAUAUUGGACUAUAAAUUAUGCCUUCUUGUAUUAGACUUAUGUAUUAGAUUAUUCUAUUCUACUGAGCCAUCUACUUUAUGUUCAUAUUCUUAUAUUUUGUUAUUUCUUAUUGUUGCAUUGUCGAGAAGGAACCUGCAAGUAAGCAUUUCAUUGGACGAUGUAUACCAUAUGUAUCCUGUACUUACGACUAAUAAAACCUGAAACUUGGCAUGUUGUUUGAUGGCAAGAUAUGACAUAGACAAUUCAGACAGUUGUACCUCCAGGAGUUCCACACACUGCGUCUUGAGACUCGUCUGAAGUCGGUACAGCCCAUCUGCCAACUUCUGUCUGUAGCGUUCCGAACCAUUUGGGCUACACACUAAUAGGACCCAUCUGUGUAAAAGUGAGACGAACACGUACAUUAGGUUGUUGUGUUCUAAGGUGCCCACAAGCAUCACAAGACUCGUCUGAAGGUCCCCAGGUACCAGUUGAAAAAGUUAAUGGAAGUACAAUAUAUAUGGAGUUAAAUACAUGUCAAAAGAAUAAAAAAAAAUGUUUCCUGAUCUUUCUUAUAUUUUUCAGAUAUAGGACAGAGAAUUCAGUUGAAACCUAUUUUAGAUUUUUGGUGGGACUAUCUGUUGUUCCAUGUAGUGAAUCUGUUAUCCAAUGCAUUUGCAUGUGCUAAUAGCAGUAAGACCAAAAAUACAGUGCAUUCAGAAAGC